RNAcentral lists this ribosomal RNA (505 nucleotides) under uncultured bacterium. RNAcentral describes it as "partial 16S ribosomal RNA". It matches the Rfam family "Bacterial small subunit ribosomal RNA", at positions 28 to 507 of the family's 1533-position model. The record is from RNAcentral.
GACGAACGCUGGCGGCGUGCCUAAUACAUGCAAGUAGAACGCACAGUUUAUACCGUAGCUUGCUACACCAUAAACUGUGAGUUGCGAACGGGUGAGUAACGCGUAGGUAACCUGCCUGGUAGCGGGGGAUAACUAUUGGAAACGAUAGCUAAUACCGCAUAAUAUUGAUUAUUGCAUGAUAAUUGAUUGAAAUAUGCUAUUGCAUCACUACCAGAUGGACCUGCGUUGUAUUAGCUAGUAGGUGAGGUAACGGCUCACCUAGGCGACGAUACAUAGCCGACCUGAGAGGGUGAUCGGCCAAACUGGGACUGAGACACGGCCCAGACUCCUACGGGAGGCAGCAGUAGGGAAUCUUCGGCAAUGGACGAAAGUCUGACCGAGCAACGCCGCGUGAGUGAAGAAGGUUUUCGGAUCGUAAAGCUCUGUUGUAAGAGAAGAACGGGUGUGAGAGUGGAAAGUUCACACUGUGACGGUAUCUUACCAGAAAGGGACGGCUAACUACGUG